CAGCAGCCGCGGUAAUACGUAGGUGGCAAGCGUUGUCCGGAAUUAUUGGGCGUAAAGGGCUCGCAGGCGGUUUCUUAAGUCUGAUGUGAAAGCCCCCGGCUCAACCGGGGAGGGUCAUUGGAAACUGGGAAACUUGAGUGCGGAAGAGGAGAGUGGAAUUCCACGUGUAGCGGUAAAAUGCGUAGAGUUGUGGAGGAACACCGGUGGCGAAGGCGACUCUCUGGUCUGUAACUGACGCUGAGGAGCGAAAGCGUGGGGAGCGAACAGGAUUAGAUACCCCCGUAGUCCCUGUCUCUUAUAA
This 301-nucleotide ribosomal RNA is filed under the name uncultured bacterium. RNAcentral's name for it is "partial 16S ribosomal RNA". It matches the Rfam family "Bacterial small subunit ribosomal RNA", at positions 509 to 809 of the family's 1533-position model. The record is from RNAcentral.